RNAcentral lists this ribosomal RNA (458 nucleotides) under uncultured bacterium. Its description in RNAcentral is "bacterial SSU rRNA". It matches the Rfam family "Bacterial small subunit ribosomal RNA", at positions 1 to 507 of the family's 1533-position model. The record is from RNAcentral.
CGUCUACGAGUUUGAUCCUGGCUCAGAACGAACGCUGGCGGCAUGCCUAACACAUGCAAGUCGAACGAAGGCUUCGGCCUUAGUGGCGCACGGGUGCGUAACGCGUGGGAACCUGCCCCUCGGUUCGGAAUAACAGUUAGAAAUGACUGCUAAUACCGGAUGAUGACUUCGGUCCAAAGAUUUAUCGCCGAGGGAUGGGCCCGCGUAGGGUUAGCUAGUUGGUGGGGUAAAGGCCUACCAAGGCGACGAUCCUUAGCUGGUCUGAGAGGAUGAUCAGCCACACUGGGACUGAGACACGGCCCAGACUCCUACGGGAGGCAGCAGUGGGGAAUAUUGGACAAUGGGCGAAAGCCUGAUCCAGCAAUGCCGCGUGAGUGAUGAAGGCCUUAGGGUUGUAAAGCUCUUUACCAGGGAUGAUAAUGACAGUACCUGGAGAAUAAGCUCCGGCUAACUCCGUG